This 4788-nucleotide long non-coding RNA is filed under the name Cairina moschata (Muscovy duck). RNAcentral's name for it is "domestica (muscovy Duck (domestic type)) lncRNA (ENSCMMG00000002264.1)". The record is from RNAcentral. Lineage: Eukaryota; Metazoa; Chordata; Aves; Anseriformes; Anatidae.
UAAUUUUGUUUAUUUUUUAAUGUUUAAUUUUUAAAAAUAUUUUUAUUUUUAUUUUUUAAUUUGUUUUUAAUUUAGUUUGCUAAUUUUUAAUUUUGUUUAAUUUUUAGGGUAUUUUGUUAAAAAUAUGCAUGUUCAUGCAACAGAUCCAACACUAUUAUUGCAAACUACUUCCAGUGUCACAGAAGCUUCUCACCAAGAAACAGCAACAGCUGAUUCAAAACCAGUAACAACCGGACCAGAAAAUGAGUCGAGUCCCGUUCCAGAAGAACGUUUGUCAUCUACAGUAGUGGCAGGAACCAGCAUUUCCCUUGUGAUCAUCUUGAUAUGUGUAAUUGCUUUUUUUUGGUUCAAAUGGAAAUCGUCUAAGGAAAGUUCAGCUGAAAUUAAUUCUGACCCCUCCAGUGAAGCUGUGGUGACCUUAAAAAAUACCAAGUUAUGAAAACCAAUGAGGAAAGAAGAAAUGAAAGUCCUCUCAGUUGAUAGAUAUUUAAAGGGCUCUUCCACAAGAGCAGAAUAUUCAAAAAAUAAAUUCUCAAAACUAAAGAGAUCCAAGUUAUAAAAAAUGGCACACUUAGGCUAUGUAUAUACUAAGGAAUUAAACCUGCACAGGAACAUUGGCACUGUUGAGACAUAGCUGGAAUAGCCCUUGUUUAAACUUGUAUUGUGUGUAUUACCUAUUGGGAAUGGCUCCUGGAAGCCUCCAACUUCCAAAAUUUGGCAAGUGCCACAACCAAGUUACCUGAAUAAACAACAGCAUUCCAGUGCAUGGGAGUUUCCUAGACAUUGUUUAAUUUACUAGUCUAGAUACAUACCCUUAUUGUUUAAAGCUAUUUCUAAAUGACAUAUUUGAUGGACAUAUUCACUCAUUUAGGGACAGGUAUUAUCAGUGAUUAAUCAAAGUUGGCCACUGCAAACCUUCAUUUACUCACUGCACUGUGUUUGGCUUCUGCACUGUAGCUGUGCAAAAAUCUAGUCAUUUAAAUAUGUCUUGUUGUCAUAAGCUUAUUAAGAUGUCUUAGACUGGAGCAUGAAUUUAAAGUUGAACUAUGUUGCACUCUAAUUCCAGUCCUUGAUAAAAAUACUAAUAAUUAUAAUAAUCAGGAGUCAGUUAAGGCUGAAAACCUGAACUUUACUGGAUGGUACCAUCAUUAUUCCACUACUUCCCCUAAUUGAGUAGCACUUACUGACUGGUGUCAGAGGCACUCAGCAGCAAGUGACUUCAAUGGGGUUCUGCUUGAGCAGGGUCUGGGGGAUGUGGGGCAGAAGGGGUGAGCAGACAUGCCCAAAGAGCUGCCCUCCUGUAAUGUAUUAAGGGAAACAGAACUGAAGAGGUAAGUUUGAGACAGUGUCAGAUUGCACUACCAAAACAUUCCAGUGUGAGCUUUGGCAAGUGACCUUUACUUCUGAAUCUGAGCUCCGGUUCUACAGGACAAAACUGGUAGCAUGUCCCUUCCUCAUAUUUAUCUGUGAAGAUGAAUACAUUUAAGAGCAUGCCAUGUCUAAGUCCCACAGUAAUGAAGCUCUACUGAGAGUUGUAAAUAUGUGGGAAAACACAGAUUGUGUUUCUCUGUAAAUCUUACCAAGCCAGUUAUUUUCCUAGUAACAGUAGAGAAGAACGCUAUUCAGCUUGAGAUAUUGAUUGACAUUCUAUGCAAAUAAAAGCACAAAAGCAGUUGUUUUUUGUCAGGGUCUGGACUUACUUCAUGAAAGCCAAAGAUACAUUUUCAUUUGACUUUAGUGAAAUAAAAGUUCAUUCUCUGUGCAAAGGAAUGAUUGAAAGGUAACCACUUAGUCCAUCUGCUCAACAGAUAAAGGUAUUUAUUCUUUUCUGUGUGUUUAAUUCUGAGCAGCAGUAUUAUUUGGGGUGGGAAGGUUGUGCUAUAGCUGUUUCAUAUGUUUUUGUUGUUGUUUUAAUGUACAUCUUAUGUGUUUGUUUUUUUUUUUCCAUUAAACAGAAGUGCACUAUAUGCUUAAAUGUUUUACUAGAUACUAGAUCAAGGGUGCCCUUGGCAACAAACAGUGUUUAGCUGAAUGCAGAAGAAAUAAGUAUAACAAACAUUUGUCCAUUUUCCAGGAAUAAUUCAUAGAAACCAUGUUUAUGCUCCUGUGUGAAUGACUCUGCUUUUGGAAAUGUUUUCAGAAUGGCUGUAUUUUAUCUGAACUUUUACAGAAUCCAUGUACUAGAAAUUAUAUUUACUAUUUGUAAUUUGGUGUUCACUUCCUGUUAUUGCACUGAAAUGGUUGUGAUUGUUCAAGUAAUCAGAAAAAUUCUCUCUAGCUUGGGUGACCAGUCCUGCAAGAGUGGAUGCUGAAUACUUUGUGGUUAAACUACCUGUGAACUUGAAAUUAGUUGUGUAAAUGAAGUCUGUGCAACAUAUGGCCUGACACAUGCACUCACAAAGCAGUUUACUUGGCUCAUUACACUGCAGUUUCAUAGUGUGCUGAUCAGCAAAGACUGAUGGGCAUUACAUAUGGAUGGAGUAGAUGGCAGUAGCAGCUUGCUGCGAAACAGUGGGGAGAUGGCAUUGAAAACGUAGGUUUAUACAAUGAGAUAAAAAAAUAAAUAAAAGAACAGUGUGCCAUGGCUCUGAUUUGAAAAUGAGAUGUUAUAGAAAAGCUAGAGAGGUUUGGCAAGGGACUAGGGAAUUUCCAACUUGUAACAAAUAAUGACAGCAGAAAGCUAGCUAUAUUUGUGAGUAACUUGCAAGUGAAAAUAAUGGAAAAUCAACUCAAUACCUCUGGAAUGAUAAAUUCAAUCUUCUUUAGCAUUGCUUCACAGAUUUGAAGACUGUAAGAAUAAUUCCUUUUCCCACUUGUGUGUGUCCUUUUCAGACAGAAUUCACGAAAUCAGAUCUGUCAGAAGAGGCUUAUUGUGGCUGCAAGUGGAUGCUUAUUAUCCCCUCUGUCCUAAAGUAGCAAUACCUUGGGAAAACUACACACACAUCUGUACUGUCACAGCAAUAAUGCAGCCCAUGCCAUUGGUUUCCUUAGGCACUUCUGAUUUGUUUAUUGCUGUACUAUAAAGUUGUAAGAAUGGUCAUAGUAGGUAAAACCAAAGGCCUACUGAGCCCAGUACUCUGCAGUCAGCAAUGUUAGUAAUAGGAGUCUAAACGAAAAGGUGAGAGCAGGGCAGGUUUAGAGUAACUUUCUUCCCUUUGUGUUAAGGCUUUUUCAACUUUACAGACUUUUCAACAGUAUAGAUUUGACUGGUACAACACCCCAGAGACAUAGGGGAGAUCUUGAGCUACUGAGUUCUGCAGCUCAGGAUCUCCUUUUUCCCUCUUUUUUUUUUUUCUUCAUCUACUGUGUAGUAAGCUUAUUCAUUGUCCUCUUGAUCUUUUUACUAUGAACAAAACCAGUGGACAGUUACUCUCUUUUCUCCUUUUCCAUGUCGUUCAGGAUUUUAUAGGCCAUGAACAUAAUUGUUUUGUCCCCCAAAGUAACAGUGUUGCUUACAGUACAUUGACCUAAGGUUUAACACCUUAGAAAUGUGAAAACACAUCUGCUUUUAAUAACUGGAGGCUGAAAAUUGCAAGCUUACUGUACUUUCUGAGGUAAUAGUUGCAAUUUUUACAGUUUCUGCAAAAUGUUUAAAAGUUAGUGUUGACACUAUGGAACACAAGUUAGAAGCAAAAAAUCGUGCUUCUUCAGUUUCAGUAUGCUUUGUUAAAGAGCACUGACAGUAUUUCAUAUUGUAACCCCUGUAUUAGUUCUGUAUCAUCCCUGUAUCUGUAUGUGCUAGUUAGCCUUCUUGUUCAAUCCAAAAGACUUACACAUAACAUAAACGGAGAUAGGAGGAUUCACCCAUAUGUCCCAUGAGCCUCUUUCUCAUAAGUAGAGAAAAACAUUUUCAGCCUGACAGUGGGAAGUUAGGCAUUUUUAAUCCUGAAACCACUCUUUUGAAUCUGCAGCACUUGCUUUUAGAAGAUAUAAUAGAGCUGACAAAAACCUAAAAUAAAGAAGGAAGAUACUGAGUUCCUUUCAACUCCUUUGGGAUGUAACUAAAUGACUUAUCAAACAAGACAAAUUGAAGGUUAUGCACACUUUAAAAUAAUAAUGUAAGUAUAUUUGAAUAUUGAUCUUGCUUAGAAAGUUGUAUACUGAUUGUUCAGUCAGGCACAUGUACAUAUUUCCUGAAGCAUUCUAGUUUAAGCAAUAACCUGCAAGACGACUAUGUCAAUUUUUUCACACAACGAGUAUCACUAUUACCUACUCACUGUCAACAGAUAAGUAGUAUCUAGUUACAGAAUUUAUUUGUGGGGUAGACAGCAGGUGUGAUCACCAGCAGGCCAUCUCACACCAUCUCAGACAGGACUGUGAAAGCACCUUGCAGCGAAUUGUCAAAAAUCAGUGGGACAGCAUCUGAUAUUCAGCAUUCCUUGCCAGGAAGUGUUAGACAGACAUACACUCACAAAAUAUCUUUCUGCCUUAUAAACAUUCCCGAUAGUGAGCUUUGAACCAGGCUGGAGGCAAAUGGGUUGUCUUUUCUUGAUAACACUCGUUCUUCUGAUAAAAAGCCAUGGGCCAGUUGAUGGGGCAUUGCAAACCAGUUGUUUUCAUAGCAUUAAGUUGUGUUCUCAGGCAUCACUCUAUGAUCAUGUUUUAGUAUUAUGCAAGUAAUUGACUGUGGUUUUCAAUUCCCAAUGUGUGUUCAAGUUACAGUAGAGAGAAGUGCCAAAACGUCAAAACGUAACAUCUGCGCAGUCCAAUUUGGGGACUCCAGUCUCUGUACAGGAGCAGGGAGGGGUGUGUUGUAACUUAUGCCAUUGAUAGGGUUUGCGUGAGGUC